AUACGGAGGGUCCGAGCGUUAAUCGGAAUUACUGGGCGUAAAGCGCGCGUAGGCGGUUGGAUAAGUCGGAUGUGAAAGCCCCGGGCUCAACCUGGGAAUUGCAUUCGAAACUGUCCGGCUAGAGUAUGGUAGAGGGAAGCGGAAUUCCACAUGUAGCGGUGAAAUGCGUAGAUAUGUGGAGGAACACCAGUGGCGAAGGCGGCUUCCUGGACCAAUACUGACGCUGAGGUGCGAAAGCGUGGGGAGCAAACAGGAUUAGAAACCCUAGUAGUCC
RNAcentral lists this ribosomal RNA (274 nucleotides) under uncultured bacterium. Its description in RNAcentral is "partial 16S ribosomal RNA". It matches the Rfam family "Bacterial small subunit ribosomal RNA", at positions 523 to 796 of the family's 1533-position model. The record is from RNAcentral.